AUUGAACGCUGGCGGCAUGCUUUACACAUGCAAGUCGGACGGCAGCACAGAGAAGCUUGCUUCUUGGGUGGCGAGUGGCGAACGGGUGAGUAACAUAUCGGAACGUACCGAGCAGUGGGGGAUAACUAAUCGAAAGAUUAGCUAAUACCGCAUAUCUUCUGAGGAAGAAAGCAGGGGACCAUUUGGCCUUGCGCUGUUUGAGCGGCCGAUAUCUGAUUAGCUAGUUGGUGGGGUAAAGGCCUACCAAGGCGACGAUCAGUAGCGGGUCUGAGAGGAUGAUCCGCCACACUGGGACUGAGACACGGCCCAGACUCCUACGGGAGGCAGCAGUGGGGAAUUCUGGACAAUGGGCGCAAGCCUGAUCCAGCCAUGCCGCGUGUCUGAAGAAGGCCUUCGGGUUGUAAAGGACUUUUGUCAGGGAAGAAAAGGGCGGGGUUAAUACCCCUGUCUGAUGACGGUACCUGAAGAAUAAGCACCGGCUAACUACGUG
Molecule: ribosomal RNA, 490 nt
Filed under: uncultured bacterium
Lineage: Bacteria
Description: partial 16S ribosomal RNA
Rfam family: Bacterial small subunit ribosomal RNA
Source: RNAcentral